This 429-nucleotide ribosomal RNA is filed under the name Chloroflexota bacterium. RNAcentral's name for it is "Chloroflexi bacterium partial 16S ribosomal RNA". It matches the Rfam family "Bacterial small subunit ribosomal RNA", at positions 355 to 776 of the family's 1533-position model. Lineage: Bacteria; Bacillati; Chloroflexota. The record is from RNAcentral.
UGGGGAAUAUUGCACAAUGGGCGCAAGCCUGAUGCAGCCAUGCCGCGUGUAUGAAGAAGGCCUUCGGGUUGUAAAGUACUUUCAGCGGGGAGGAAGGGAGUAAAGGUAAUACCUUUGCUCAUUGACGUUACCCGCAGAAGAAGCACCGGCUAACUCCGUGCCAGCAGCCGCGGUAAUACGGAGGGUGCAAGCGUUAAUCGGAAUUACUGGGCGUAAAGCGCACGCAGGCGGUUUGUUAAGUCAGAUGUGAAAUCCCCGGGCUCAACCUCGGAACUGCAUCUGAUACUGGCCAGCUUGAGUCUCGUAGAGGGGGGUAGAAUUCCCGGUGUAGCGGUGAAAUGCGUAGAGAUCUGGAGGAAUACCAGUGGCGAAGGCGGCCCCCUGGACGGAGACUGACGCUCAGGUGCGAAAGCGUGGGGAGCAAACAGG